GAUGAACGCUGGCGGCGUGCCUAAUACAUGCAAGUCGAGCGAACAGACGAGGAGCUUGCUCCUCUGACGUUAUCGGCGGACGGGUGAGUAACACGUGGAUAACCUACCUAUAAGACUGGGAUAACUUCGGGAAACCGGAGCUAAUACCGGAUAACAUGUUGAACCGCAUGGUUCAACAGUGAAAGACGGUCUUGCUGUCACUUAUAGAUGGAUCCGCGCCGCAUUAGCUAGUUGGUAAGGUAACGGCUUACCAAGGCAACGAUGCGUAGACGACCUGAGAGGGUGAUCGGCCACACUGGAACUGAGACACGGUCCAGACUCCGACGGGAGGCAGCAGUAGAGAAUCUUCCGCAAUGGGGGAGAGCCUGACGGAGCAACGCCGCGUAAGUGAAGAAGGUCUUCGGAUCGUAAAACUAUGUUAUUAGGGAAGAACAAAUGUGUAAGUAACUAUGCACGUCUUGACGGUACCUAAUCAGAAAGCCACGGCUAACUACGUG
Molecule: ribosomal RNA, 497 nt
Filed under: uncultured bacterium
Lineage: Bacteria
Description: partial 16S ribosomal RNA
Rfam family: Bacterial small subunit ribosomal RNA
Source: RNAcentral